UACGUAGGUGGCAAGCGUUGUCCGGAUUUAUUGGGUUUAAAGGGUGCGUAGGCGGUCCUAUAAGUCAGUGGUGAAAUACGGCAGCUCAACUGUCGAGGUGCCAUUGAUACUGUAGGACUAGAGUACUGUUGAGGUAGGCGGAAUGGACGGUGUAGCGGUGAAAUGCUUAGAUAUCGUCCAGAACACCGAUAGCGAAGGCAGCUUACUAAAGAGUAACUGACGCUGAGGCACGAAAGUGUGGGGAUCAAACAGGAUUAGAA
RNAcentral lists this ribosomal RNA (260 nucleotides) under uncultured bacterium. RNAcentral's name for it is "partial 16S ribosomal RNA". It matches the Rfam family "Bacterial small subunit ribosomal RNA", at positions 524 to 783 of the family's 1533-position model. The record is from RNAcentral.